UACGUAGGGCGCAAGCGUUGUCCGGAAUUAUUGGGCGUAAAGAGCUCGUAGGCGGCCUGUUACGUCUGCUGUGAAAUCCCGGGGCUUAACCCCGGGCGUGCAGUGGAUACGGGCAGGCUGGAGGCAGGCAGGGGAGAACGGAAUUCCCGGUGUAGCGGUGGAAAUGCGCAGAUAUCGGGGAGGAACACCGGUGGCGAAGGCGGGUAACUGGCCGGACACUGACACUCAGACCCGAAAGCGUGGGGAUCAAACAGG
RNAcentral lists this ribosomal RNA (255 nucleotides) under uncultured bacterium. RNAcentral's name for it is "partial 16S ribosomal RNA". It matches the Rfam family "Bacterial small subunit ribosomal RNA", at positions 524 to 776 of the family's 1533-position model. The record is from RNAcentral.